UUUGUUAAUAAUACUCCAAUGGGGGAAAAAAGGCACACUUGAAUUCUCCAAAAAGAAGGAAUAGGAUGAUUUUAAGAUUUUUUCACAAUCUUAAGAUACUUUCAUCGACACCUUCCUGUCCCGGUUUAGACCUGCAUUCUACAAGUGUGAUUCCACUCAAUGAAGAUUUCAUAACAAAACUUCAGCUUCCCACAGAGGCCACAGAAUCCUGAGGACAACCUGCAGGAAGCUGGGUCACUACUUUUUAUAAGGUAUUCUCCAUUGCAACCAUUCCCACGGCAAGUUCAUUUUUCUAUUAUACACCUUCAUAUUAAAAUCCUAGGUUAAAUUGAAAAAAACAGGGGCGCCUGGGUGGCUCAGUCAGUUAAGCGUCUGACUUCAGCCCGGGUCACGAUCUUGCGGUCCGUGAGUUCGAGCCCCGCGUCGGGCUCUGGGCUGAUGGCUCAGAGCCUGGAGCCUGCUUCCGAUUCUGUGUCUCCCUCUCUCUCUGCCCCUCCCCCGUUCAUGCUCUGUCUCUCUCUGUCUCAAAAAUAAA
Panthera uncia (snow leopard) is the source of this 535-nucleotide long non-coding RNA. RefSeq lists it as uncharacterized. The transcript is spliced from 2 exons. Lineage: Eukaryota; Metazoa; Chordata; Mammalia; Carnivora; Felidae. The record is from RefSeq and is a predicted model, not a curated record.